This 329-nucleotide ribosomal RNA is filed under the name uncultured Streptococcus sp. Its description in RNAcentral is "bacterial SSU rRNA". It matches the Rfam family "Bacterial small subunit ribosomal RNA", at positions 1052 to 1382 of the family's 1533-position model. Lineage: Bacteria; Bacillati; Bacillota; Bacilli; Lactobacillales; Streptococcaceae. The record is from RNAcentral.
UCGUCAGCUCGUGUCGUGAGAUGUUGGUUAAGUCCCGCAACGAGACGCAACCCCUAUUGUUAGUUGCCAUCAUUCAGUUGGGCACUCUAGCGAGACUGCCGGUAAUAAACCGGAGGAAGGUGGGGAUGACGUCAAAUCAUCAUGCCCCUUAUGACCUGGGCUACACACGUGCUACAAUGGUUGGUACAACGAGUUGCGAGUCGGUGACGGCGAGCUAAUCUCUUAAAGCCAAUCUCAGUUCGGAUUGUAGGCUGCAACUCGCCUACAUGAAGUCGGAAUCGCUAGUAAUCGCGGAUCAGCACGCCGCGGUGAAUACGUUCCCGGGCCUU